UCACCCCUCAAAAUCUUGCCUCUAAAAUUAUUUUCUUGUUGAAUUCCUACUAAAUUAAGUGUCCUUUACAACUUGGUGUAGUUGUUUUGGAAGAAGGAGCACUUAUUUCUUCAAGUUGACAACUUGUUCAAGUGAAGAAAUUUGUAGAAAAAGAUUUUGAAGGAAACGGGAAUUGAAUUUGGAAAGGCGUAAAGAGCAUACAAGGUACAGACGACAGAUUUGCUGACCGCCUGCCUAGGAUAUCUAUUCUGCUAUUUUGGGAGUGCUCUUUUGUCCAGAGCCUAUAUGUUGGUACAGUCUGCUGCUAUUGUAUAUAUGUAUGCUAUUCAGGGGUAUGACGGGGCCCUGUCCCGUCUUAUGAUUCUGUUAUGUUCUGUAGAGGUCUGUAGACAUACUU
This is a long non-coding RNA of Lycium barbarum (goji berry), 397 nucleotides long. RefSeq lists it as uncharacterized. NCBI's taxonomy places the organism in Eukaryota, Viridiplantae, Streptophyta, Magnoliopsida, Solanales, Solanaceae. The transcript has 3 exons. The record is from RefSeq and is a predicted model, not a curated record.